AACAACAUUUGUUCCAGAUCGUUUACUUUGUAUGGCCCGGGGAUGAAGAAAACUUGAUGCUUGCUUUUCGUCUAUUAACGCAGAACCUAUCAACACAAAACGAAAAGAGAGGUAGAAUAAGAACUACCGUGAUUUGUCUGUCUUACGAAAUCAAAUUCCGGGACAUUCCAGAAGACACGACGCUUAUGUCACGGCAGUCACGUGUGAAAACCUGGAAAUGGAAUUCAACGCACGAACUCGUUUAACGACAAAACUAAAAGACGGUUUUCAAUGGAUAGACCAAAAGGCGAAAGCUGGUUAUCAAGAAUUGUGAUUAGACCUGUCAUUAAUUGUAAUGUGUUUCCUUUCUUUUCGGAUGUUUCUUGGUAUCAUACGUUUUUUUUUUUUUUUUUUCAGAUCACAAAUUCAUGAUGAAAAAUUUGAGGAAAAAGUAUUUGGGGAAGUUGAAAACCGUUUCGUGCGAUUAUUUUUGAUUUUGUGGGUGUGGAGUUAAAUAUUGUAAUUACGGGUCAGUGCUAAUUGCAGUUCGCGACCACAUGAUGACAUGGCGGUUUUGCUCGCGGCCAAAUUUACAAAUAUUGAAAACAAGCCUUUAUUUCCGUUAACCCUUUCCAAAGUGAAAAAUAGCAGAUCUGAUGUUGUUUUCUAAUAGACCCUAAUAGGACGAAGGGUUUAAGGUUUUUUGAUCCUCGAGAACCCAGUCAGAAAGAGAUCAAACCUAGUCGGGGUAAAACAGUAGCAGUGUACAACCGUAUAUGAAUCGAAGCUGUUAUGACUUAGCCCGCGAGCAGUUCACUAAGUACGUCUGCAGUAAGUACACAUGGCUGCACGAGCCGGAAGCCUUGAGACCCUACGGUUUAUGAGGAAUCACUGACGCCCUUAUGUUUGUGACUGGCAAGGCACUUUGUAAAAUGUGUCUACAAACGGUACUGGCGAAAUAGCACGACUCCCUGAAAAAGUGCGAUGUAAAGGUUCUAUUCAAUAGCCUCGAGUAGCGCGGCGCAUAUCUCCGGUUUCCCUAGCAACUAAGCUGUUAUUUCUAUUGUAUACCUUACUGCUUUAGUAAGAAAAGAGAAUGUUCUCUCGUAUUGAGAACUGAUUCGUCUCCUCGUGGUUUAAUUAACUCUACGUAGUCAGUUUUAAAUGACACGUUCCGGACUAUUAACGCUAUCAUUGCGAUUGUGUCGCGCGGGAUGUUCGUUAUAUUGCCGAGUUGUACUUAACAGUCUUAAAUUUAGCCCAUCUGAUAGAGAGCCGAUUUGCUACGUAACUGGCCGAAUGCCAUUGUUGCUUUAACCGGUCUAUAGAAACAGAGAAAAGUAUGUCUUGUCUUUUCUAAUUGGAAUUGAACAUGUUUAAUCUGUUUUUCUGCAGUAAAGUAAAUUAAGUAACACCUGGUGUGUCGAGUUUCCAAAGCAUUUCUCUUAAUCUCCUAGGCUUACGUGAUGAUUACAUAACAGUCGAUAUGCCCUUUGAAACUAUUUUUUGUUCUUCAUAGAAAGGUGUCUUUUGUUCACUUCCUUCGCAUGGUUAAAAUAGGUGACAUUGGUAGUAACAACAAUAUCAUGCCAGACAAAUACUGAAGUAUAUUGCAAUAUCAGUCACCUUGGCCUACUAUAUGACGUGAAUGAUACUAAUCAACUUGGGAGACCGUGAACGUUAAAUUUCUAAUUCCUAAUUGAACAAAUGACCGUGCGAACUUUAGAGAACCUUUGCAACUGAAGUUCUGGAAACUCGAGUGAUUAGACAUAAAAGUUUUGUAAAGUAAUCAGUUGAAAGGAUUUCAUAAAAUCAUGACACCGCAAUCACCUUUCUUAUCUUGGUUUACUCUUAGAUAGAACAACAAAAUAUAUACGGUCAAUAUUUUUAAUUGCAGGUUGAACAAAGGCCAAGUCAUAGAAUUACUUCACAGCUUUUCCUAUUGUAGCUGUUCGGUCUGUGUAAACCGAUUUUCUGCUUUUGUCUUGGGUGAACCAGGCAGACGUUCUCAAAAGGUUGUAUCGGAUCUACCGGUGUCAUUUGUUAUUGGAACCAAAGUCCUGUGGAGCUCAAAGUGAAAGUUCAAUGUCUAAACUAUUAACGUAAAAUGUAAUCCAAAGUCUCCGCUUCAGUUCUUUGUGCUGACGAGGGGCCCGUUUCUCGAAAGCGCCGGAAACUUGUCGGACGGCAAAGCCAUUUUCAGUUUAAUUAAUCUGUAUCUAAAAACAGAAAGGUGUAAACGCCU
Molecule: long non-coding RNA, 2224 nt
Organism: Orbicella faveolata
Lineage: Eukaryota; Metazoa; Cnidaria; Anthozoa; Scleractinia; Merulinidae
Source: RefSeq, a predicted model, not a curated record